This 460-nucleotide ribosomal RNA is filed under the name uncultured bacterium. RNAcentral's name for it is "partial 16S ribosomal RNA". It matches the Rfam family "Bacterial small subunit ribosomal RNA", at positions 338 to 795 of the family's 1533-position model. The record is from RNAcentral.
CCUACGGGUGGCAGCAGUGAGGAAUAUUGGUCAAUGGGCGCGAGCCUGAACCAGCCAAGUAGCGUGAAGGAUGACUGCCCUCCGGGUUGUAAACUUCUUUUAUUAAGGAAUAAAGUGAGGCACGUGUGCCUUUUUUUAUGUACUCUAUGAAUAAGGAUCGGCUAACUCCGUGCCCGCAGCCGCGGUAAUACGGGGGAUGCGAGCGUUAUCCGGAUUUAUUGGGUUUUAAGGGAGCGUAGAUGGGUUGUUAAGUCAGUUGUGAAAGUUUGCGGCUCAACCGUAAAAUUGCAGUUGAUACUGGCAGUCUUGAGUGCAGAUGAGGUAGGCGGAAUUCGUGGUGUAGCGGUGAAAUGCUUAGAGAUCACGAAGAACUCCGAUGGCGAAGGCAGCUGACUGAGCUGCCACUGACGCUGAUGCUCGAAAGUGUGGGUAUCAAACAGGAGUAGAUACCCGGGUAGUC